CCCAGCAAAAAUCCCCUUUAAUUUUAAUUUAGUAUAUAAGAAGUGUAAAUAAUUUAAACUUCAGUGUAUCCCAGAAUAAGAAUUAUACAAGAUGAAGCUCCUGUUCUUAACUUUCUUGGUCGUCUUAGUAUUUAGCACCUUUGUCAAUUCGGCAUCAAUUGAUGAAGAAGGAGGGAUUUUGACCCGUGUAAGGAGAGCUGGCUGUAAUGAAAGAGACUGUAAAAUUGAUUGCUUGAAAAAUAUAUGGUUCAACAAAGGAAGAUGUGAAAAUGGAGAAUGUGACUGCUAUAGAUAAAUAUUUAAAUAAUAUAUGUAUAUAAAGUACGCAUUUUAAUUUAAAUAAUUUGUCUAAACUGUAAUAUAUUUGUAAGAAAUU
Aethina tumida (small hive beetle) is the source of this 376-nucleotide long non-coding RNA. RefSeq lists it as uncharacterized. The record is from RefSeq and is a predicted model, not a curated record. The transcript has 2 exons. Lineage: Eukaryota; Metazoa; Arthropoda; Insecta; Coleoptera; Nitidulidae.